RNAcentral lists this ribosomal RNA (255 nucleotides) under uncultured bacterium. Its description in RNAcentral is "partial 16S ribosomal RNA". It matches the Rfam family "Bacterial small subunit ribosomal RNA", at positions 524 to 776 of the family's 1533-position model. The record is from RNAcentral.
UACGUAGGGGGCAAGCGUUGUCCGGAAUCAUUGGGCGUAAAGGGCGCGUAGGUGGCCUGAUAAGGGUGUGGUGAAAGUCCGGGGGCUCAACCCCCGGAUCUGCCGUGCCGACUGUUGGGCUGGAGUACUGUAGGGGCAGGCGGAAUUCCGGGUGUAGCGGUGGAAUGCGUAGAGAUCCGGAGGAAGACCGGUGGCGAAGGCGGCCUGCUGGGCAGUUACUGACACUGAGGCGCGACAGCGUGGGGAGCAAACAGG